GACGAACGCUGGCGGCGUGCUUAACACAUGCAAGUCGAACGGUCCUGUUUUUUGAAGCGCUUCGGCGUGGAGGGAGCGGGUUAGUGGCGCACGGGUGAGUAAUGCGCGAGGACCUGCCCGCGGGAGGGGGACAGCAGUUGGAAACGGCUGGUGAUACCCCGUAAGCCGGGAGGUAAAAGGGCGGAGACGCCCGCCUGCGGAUGGACUCGCGUCCUAUCAGCUAGUUGGUGAGGCAACGGCUCACCAAGGCGACGACGGGUAGCCGGCCUGAGAGGGUGUCCGGCCACACUGGAACUGAGACACGGUCCAGACUCCUACGGGAGGCAGCAGUGGGGAAUUUUGGGCAAUGGGGGAGACCCUGACCCAGCGACGCCGCGUGAGGGACGAAGGCCCUUGGGUCGUAAACCUCUUUUGCAGGGGAAGAAGAAGAUGACGGUACCUUGCGAACAAGUCCCGGCUAACUACGUG
RNAcentral lists this ribosomal RNA (468 nucleotides) under uncultured bacterium. Its description in RNAcentral is "bacterial SSU rRNA". It matches the Rfam family "Bacterial small subunit ribosomal RNA", at positions 28 to 507 of the family's 1533-position model. The record is from RNAcentral.